CCUACGGGAGGCAGCAGUGGGGGAUAUUGCACAAUGGGGGAAACCCUGAUGCAGCGACGCCGCGUGGGUGAAGAAGCGCCUCGGCGCGUAAAGCCCUGUCAGCAGGGAAGAAAAUGACGGUACCUGAAGAAGAAGCCCCGGCUAACUACGUGCCAGCGGCCGCGGUAAUACGUAGGGGGCAAGCGUUAUCCGGCUUUACUGGGUGUAAAGGGGGCGCAAACGGCGAUGCAAGCCAGUAGUGAAAGCCCGGGGCCCAACCCCGGGACUGCGCUUGGAACUGCGUGUCGAGAGUGCAGGAGGGGCAGGCGGAAUGCCUGGUGUAGCGGUGAAAUGCGUAGAUAGCAGGAGGAACACCGGUGGCGAAGGCGGCCUGCUGGACUGCAACUGACGUUGAGGCCCGAAAGCGUGGGGAGCAAACAGGAUUAGAUACCCCGGUAGUC
Molecule: ribosomal RNA, 440 nt
Filed under: uncultured bacterium
Lineage: Bacteria
Description: partial 16S ribosomal RNA
Rfam family: Bacterial small subunit ribosomal RNA
Source: RNAcentral